UACGUAGGGCGCGAGCGUUAAUCGGAAUUACUGGGCGUAAAGCGUGCGUAGGCGGUUCGUUAAGUCCGUUGUAAAAGUCAAAGGCUCAACCUUUGAAAGCCGAUGGAUACUGCCGGGCUAGAGUCCGGAAGAGGCGAGUAGAAUUCCUGGUGUAGCGGUGGAAUGCGCAGAUAUCAGGAGGAAUACCCAUAGCGAAGGCAGCUCGCUGGGACGGUACUGACGCUGAGGCGCGAAAGCGUGGGGAGCGAACAGG
Molecule: ribosomal RNA, 253 nt
Filed under: uncultured bacterium
Lineage: Bacteria
Description: partial 16S ribosomal RNA
Rfam family: Bacterial small subunit ribosomal RNA
Source: RNAcentral